This 433-nucleotide RNase P RNA is filed under the name Candidatus Doudnaibacteriota bacterium. Its description in RNAcentral is "Candidatus Doudnabacteria bacterium RNase P RNA component class A". It matches the Rfam family "Bacterial RNase P class A". Rfam says of the family: Ribonuclease P (RNase P) is a ubiquitous endoribonuclease, found in archaea, bacteria and eukarya as well as chloroplasts and mitochondria. Its best characterised activity is the generation of mature 5'-ends of tRNAs by cleaving the 5'-leader elements of precursor-tRNAs. The record is from RNAcentral. Lineage: Bacteria; Candidatus Doudnaibacteriota.
GAAUGCGAGUGGAUGGUCGCGUGCUCGGUUAGGCAACUAAGCGAGCCCGAGGAACGUCCGAACACCCCGUUAUGUGAAUAGCGGAGCAUGAUCGUUGGUAACGCCAACCGCACUGCGGCUUCGCAAGAAGUGACAGGAGUGUAGGGCUCGUGCCACAGAGACAUAUACCGCCGAUGGCCGUCGCAAGACGGAACAGGUAAGGCUGAAAAGUGUGAGGUAAGAGCUCACGGAUGUGCAUGGUGACAUGCAUGUGGGGUAAACCCGAUCUGGUGCAAGAUCAUAUAGGCUGUCACAAGUCGCUCUCGAGUCGAGUUGUGAGCAGCGGGUAGAUUGCUCGAGCCUAUUGGUAACAAUGGGCCUAGAUAGAUGACCAUCUCCAUGUCACGUUCGCGUGUUAUGUAGACAAAAUUCGGCGUACAACUCGCGUUCGCUC